This 750-nucleotide ribosomal RNA is filed under the name uncultured bacterium. Its description in RNAcentral is "bacterial SSU rRNA". It matches the Rfam family "Bacterial small subunit ribosomal RNA", at positions 51 to 819 of the family's 1533-position model. The record is from RNAcentral.
UAGCAUGCAGUCGAGCGCUCAUCAGCAAUGGUGGGAGCGGCGAACGGCGUAGUAAGACGUAGGAACGUACCCUCAGGACGGGGAUAGCUAUGGGAAACUGUAGGUAAUACCCGAUAAUCUCUGCGGAGCAAAGGUGUGAUUCCGCCUGAGGAGCGGCUUACGCGAUAUUAGCUAGUUGGUGGGGUAAUGGCCUACCAAGGCGAUGAUGUCUAGGGGGUGUGAGAGCAUGGCCCCCACGACCGGAACUGAGAUACUGUCCGGACACCUACGGGUGGCUGCAGUCGAGAAUCUUCCGCAAUGGACGAAAGUCUGACGGAGCGACGCCGCGUGCGGGAUGAAGGCCCUUGGGUUGUAAACCGCUGUCAGAGGGGAUGAAAUCUUCGGGGGUACUCCUCCGAAGUUGACAGAGCCUCAAAGGAAGCACGGGCUAAGUACGUGCCAGCAGCCGCGGUAACACGUACUGUGCGAACGUUAUUCGGAAUCACUGGGCUUAAAGGGUGCGUAGGCGGCGAUUCAAGUCAGAUGUGAAAUGCCUGAGCUCAACUGAGGCAUUGCGUUUGAAACUGAAUUGCUAGAGUAUCCUAGGGGUGUGCGGAACUGCCAGUGGAACGGUGAAAUGUGUUGAUAUUGGCAGGAACACCGGAGGCGAAAGCGGCACACUGGGGGAUAACUGACGCUGAGGCACGAAAGCCAAGGGAGCGAACGGGAUUAGAUACCCCGGUAGUCUUGGCCGUAAACGAUGAGUACUGG